RNAcentral lists this long non-coding RNA (1071 nucleotides) under Vigna radiata. RNAcentral's name for it is "long non-coding RNA (VRAD_LNC007606)". Lineage: Eukaryota; Viridiplantae; Streptophyta; Magnoliopsida; Fabales; Fabaceae. The record is from RNAcentral.
AUAGAUACAACUCAAAAUAUAUAUAAAAAAAUAAUAAUAAAGUAUAGAAUCCGAGAAAUAAAAAUGUUCCAAAAGACGAUGUAUAUCUAGAGACCUUGAUCAACAAGAUAAUCUCCCAGCCUCUCGACAACCAUGUUGCAUUGUCCUGGAGUCACAGGUUCCUCAUAAAUACCAAAAACUAAAGCUUGACCAGUUUUCUUUAUGGUGAUUCCUCCAGAUCCCUACAAAAUAUGAGAGUGUUAGAGUUAAGGUAAAAGUUAAAAAAAAAAGGUAAACUUUUUAAAGAGGUGAACUUUAAAUUUAAAUACCUUCUUUCCACGGAUAACAGCUCCAGGCUCUCCUUGAAUUACCAUGUAUUUGGUUCCAGCAAGGUGCAAACCUGUAGGAGCAAGAUGACCUGGUUCGUCGAAAUCUUUCAUGAUAUCAGAGACCUCUUGAGAUUUAAUCUACAGAAGAAGUAAGAAAAUUAGGAGGUAUGUCAAUUUAUAAGUAUAAGUAGAAAGAAUUAGGAAGAUUGAUUACCUGAGGAAAAGAAGUGCUUUGAGCCCAAACAGAGCCAUCGUGACCGAUGAUGGCAGCUGCAGUGAGAUGGUGGCCUGUGCCAUCAAUAUCACACAUCAAAUGUUCAUCGACGUAAGUCUGCCAAGACAUUUUCUUCUUUGUCUUUUGUUUUUGUGAUGCUUCUAAUGUGAUUAUGUUUCUGUCUCUGUUUGUCAACUUUAAAUUUAGUUUUAAAUAAGAGUUUGAUCAUGGAUUCAUGGAUGGAAGUUGAUGCUCCUUCUACCUUCUCUUUCUCUCCAUCCAUUUCUUGCCACAACUUCACUUUCUCCUUAUUUCUAGGAUCAAACCUUUUUAUUUUCCUAUUCUUAUUCUCAUUCUUUUAUGUCCACAAAUAGAUUAGAUAUACCUAAUUCAUCCAUCACAAUUAUUAUUCUUCUUAUUUUUUUGUUUAUGAAUAAUUAAAGAAUAUAAGAAUAAAAUGCUACAUAGUUUACGUUCUGCUAGAUAAAGAAAUACAAAGAUAUAUGACACUGUUGUACUUUGAACCCGAGUUCUGACAUUUACUUGAGG